UCCCUGGAGGACUAGUGGUUAGGCCUCGGUGCUCUCAACGCUGUGGCCCGGGUUCAAUUACCAGCUAGAGAA
This 72-nucleotide transfer RNA is filed under the name Pangasianodon hypophthalmus (striped catfish). RNAcentral's name for it is "tRNA-Glu". Lineage: Eukaryota; Metazoa; Chordata; Actinopteri; Siluriformes; Pangasiidae. The record is from RNAcentral.